Molecule: long non-coding RNA, 7726 nt
Filed under: Lactuca sativa (garden lettuce)
Lineage: Eukaryota; Viridiplantae; Streptophyta; Magnoliopsida; Asterales; Asteraceae
Description: long non-coding RNA (LSAT_LNC006979)
Source: RNAcentral
GCUAAUACAUCUUUCUUAGCAAUCUAAUUCUAACUCUAAGUAGUAGCUCAAGAAUCUAAUCUUCGAGAAAUGCGAUCGAAAUCCAUUCCUUCACGGUUAGAUUCUGCUCACUUCUUCCCUUAAGCUUCCUUUCUUUUCUUCGAUCCUACAAAACAUCAAUUGUAAUCUUAUCACAUUAUGUAUUAAGAAUCUAGAAUAGAAGCUUAAAAGAGUUAGUUAAUGGAUUUUACCUAUAUUAGAGCCAUACGUUUCGACUCUCCCAUCUCUUAGAUCUCUUAGGUAAAUGGGGCAACUUCGUCUCCAAUGCCCUUUCUCUUGGCAAUAAAAACAAAUUGACUCUUUUGGAACAUGACAUGGAACUACUUCAGACAUUGCCUUUCUCUUAUGAUCAAACUUUUUGAUCAUAGCAUGUCUUUCGUUGCCAUUGUCUAUAUCCAUAGAGGUCUUGAAGGCAGAUUCACCAAUCAACUUUGCUUUUCUAUUGCGCCAAACCAUUGCUGAUUCAGCAGCAAUAAGCAUAUAGGUGAGAUCUAUAAGGGUCACGUCGCGGUUCAUCAUAUAGUACUCUCUUACGAACUCACUAUAUGAGUUAGGAAGUGACUGAAGAACCCAAUCAACAGCCAUUUCCUCACAGACAACGGAUCCCAACAUUCUUAACCUAUCAAUGUGUGACUUCAUCCCUAGGACGUGUGCACACACCGACUUUCCUUCUUUAUGUUUACUUGCCAAAAGGGCUUGAGUGAUCUUGAACUUUUCAAGCCUUUGAACUUGUGGGUUAGGGAGAAUAAUUGGAGGAGGAGGAGGAAGUGAAGCAUGAUUUCUUGUUCCUCGAUCGAAUCGUGGAAUAUCAUCUUCAUGUGGAAUGCUUGUUCCACGGGAUUUGGGAAGACCAUAGUUGUCGAACUUUGACAUCUACAAAACGGGAGAAAACGAAUUCAAGUUAGUUGAUUGAUUGAGUCCUUAGUAAAUCACCCAAAUGAGAUACUAAGGCUAGGACCCAACACAAUAUUCUACAACUCGGGAGAGGGAUGCCGUAACCCUAAUUGCAGAAUAUUUGAAGGUAAGUGAAUGACGAUUCACUAAUUUCCACCAUGAAAAACGAAAAAGAAAUUUAAGUUUUAAAUCUAUGAAAACUCCUAGAUCCUUUGAGAUUCAUUGAACUUUCAAUGGCAUGUUUAAAUCUCGAUAUGCCCCUCUUGUUUGUGACUGGGAUGCCGAGGAUCACAAAGCGGGUGUGAAUAACCAUGCAAACUUACAUGGUGCCCUCACAUGUUACAGUCACCUAUUCGAUGUGCCGGUAAACCACACACGCUCCACCGAACUAUGACAAACAUUGAGUCACCCUUUGCUACCUUUGCUUAGAACCAUUUAGUGUGCCGGUAAACCACACACGCUCCACUAACGUCUUCGCAAGGGCACAAAGUGUAAUUUCAUGGAAUUGCAUCAAUUCACUUUUGCCUAAGUAACUAAGAUUGGGAAUUUUAUGAAAACAUUUAGUUACUUUAAUAAUUCAUUAUACUUAUAAUGGAAGGUUUCGUCCUAUCCUACCCGUUCGGCUAACGACCCUCCACUAGUCAAGAGUGCGGUGGGUAAGAGUGGAUACCCAUUCAAUCGCCAUUUUAUAGGCAAUUUCCUUAAACACCCCUUAUAGACCAGCUUCGUGAAUGAGGCCUACUAACGGUAAGACUGACUUUUACUCAUACAUAUAUAUAAUGUUAGACUUUUAAUGUUAUAUAUAGUAUAGGGUAUAUUUUACACUUUUAAAAUACUAGGUGGUCAAAUUUAAUAAUUAUACCUUUAAUUCAAUUAAAUUGUAAACCAAAACUUUUAUGGAUUUAUUAAACCUCUUUUAAUUAUACACCUUAAUUAAUUAAUAAAACCAUAAGGGUGUGAUUUGAACUUUUUCAAAACAAUACUAGGGUUUUAGAAUUUAACAUUCCUAAUUAAACUUUUAAUCAACUUUUAAAUUCCAAAACUUGAGGGCAAGUUUUGAAACAUUUCAAAACAUUAGGGUUUAGAAUUUAAAUAUACAUCAAAAUUAAACAAUUAAUCAAAAUUUAAAUUCCAAAACUUGAGGGCAAGUUUUGAAACCUUUUUCAAAACAUUAGGGUUUCAACUAUUUAAAUUUCAAAACAACAAAACUUUUGGGUUCAAAUUUAAACUAUAAAACCUAAAGGGGAAAAUAUGAAACUUUUCAAAACACAAGGAUCAAAUAACAAAUAAUCUAAAUUAACAUUUAAUCACAUAAUUAUCCAUAUUUGAUUUAUUUAAUGAUUUCUUGCAAAACAAUUUACCAAUUUAAUCAAAAUAAUUAAUCAAUUAUCACAUAAGGAAACAAUUAUUUUAUUAAUUGAUAAAUAUCUUCAAUUAGAUCAAGAAUAUAGUCAAAUAUAUCAUAAAAUCGGAUUUAUAUUGAUCUAAUAUGAUAAGGCAACUAUCCUUAAGCAAAAACAGCAAGAAAUCCCGGUUUUCCCUCUUACUGACCAGCCGACUCGUCGAGUCAGGCAUGGACUCGUCGAGUUAGCAUGAACUCGACGAGUUCAUCUAAAAAACUCGGCGAGUUCAGCCCCCAGAAACACAAAAAUCGAAUUUUUUUAACAUAUAAAGCAUCAAUACAAUAGAAACCAAUCUAGGCUCUGAUACCACUGAUGGGUUUUGGUCAUAAGACAUCCUAUGUGCUCAUACAAACCCUAAUGCUUGGAUCUAGGUUUCUCUAUUGUACAUGCUUUGAAUCCAAGACUAUAAACCCUAAUUCUAGCAUAUGGAAAUCAAUAUUAACAUAUAAUUAGGUUUAUGAUAUUACCUUGAUUGUUAUGUAGCAAUAACAAUCCCAAUUCCUCCUUGAAUUGACUUUGGAAGGCUUAGAGUCACAAGUGUCACUCCUCUAAUGGUUCACAAACACCAUAAGCAAGAGGAUGAAGAGGAGAGAGGAUGGAGGCUGCCCAAAACGUGUUCUAACCCUAGAAAAGAAGUUCCCCACGUUUUUGAGCCUUAAGGGUUCUAUAUAUAGUGAGGCAAUUAGGGUUAUCUAACAAGGAAACCCUAAUUUGGAUGCUUAAGCCCUAAGCAACCCAUGGAGCCCUUUCCUUAAGGCCUUGGACGAUUUCAUAUGGGCUUCCCCCAUAGAAUUCGUCCACCUUAUAAUAUAAGGCAAUCCAUGGCCCAAAUUGCAAUUAUCUUAUAAUUACAAUUCCAGUCCCUUAAGUUUAAUUAAUCUCUUUUAGUCACAAAACUAAUUACCAAUUAAUUAUUGACUAAUAUUAAUUAAACAAUAUGAUUUCUCCUUUAAUAUAUUAUUCUCAUAAUAUAUUAAUAAAUCAUAUUUAAUCCUUUCUCUCCAUAAUUCAUCCUAUCAAGUUGCUUUGGUGAAGGCAACCCAAAAGGACCAUGCACCAUCGGGUCAAGUACAUACCAAAAUAGUUAUGGACUUAGACACUAAUCCAACAGUCUCCCACUUGGAUAAGUCUAAUAACUAUUCUGCGUAUGACUUCAGAUCCUGAUCUGCAAUCGUAGCUUUCCAAAGCCGCUGUCAACUCUGAUCAUAUCAGAUACGCGUGUCCUUAGAUAAGGGAUCAUAUAUUCCUCCAUUCUAGAUAUCAUAUGAGAUAUGAUUUCAAAUCAUUCUCUUUGUACUAUAUCUCGAUUCCCGAUUUAUGACGACUGACUAAUUGAACAAAUCAAAUUAGCCCUAGCCCGGCCGAGCAUUUACGUUUGUCAUCACUAAAUCAUCGAGGGGCCCAAAGAUAUCGCUUUUAUCCUACUUUGGAUAAAAGGAACGGAUAAACUUUGAUACAAUGCUUGCUUGCACUCACUCACCGAAUCACACACAACAAUAUGUUUUAUAACACCAAGUUACUAGUGCGUUUACAUAUUAUCAAUGUGCAACCGAUUUGCAAGAUACAACUCACACAUCUCGGUUUCAAGAAUAUAAGAUGUUAUCGUCUCACCAAUCACUCGUGAUACAAUUCAUGGAGUGAUCCAAGUGAGCGUGGGUUUAAUCCAAUGCUCAAAUCAUAUUCAUAAGCACUCAUGAACGUUGCAGCAAACAUUUGCUUAUGUCUAAUACUCUUUUAGACAAUCCACACACCAAUUCACGACAGUCUUCAUUCAUAUCUACUUCCAACAUAUGAACGACUGUGGCCCGUUUGAAUAAUUCGAUUAUUCUUAAUAAACUCAAUUAUUCUGGAAGUCAAAACAUGCAAAUGUGAAACACAAGAAUAAUACUAAUCCCAUAUGGCCUCAAACCUUUGAGUAUAAAUAAAACACCUUUUAUUUAUCACCAUAUCGAUUACUCAUUAUUUGUCGUUUCGGGUAAUCAACUUCUUACUUGAAUUAUUACACUUGUCCCAUGCUCCUAGCAUGCACACAAUGUUUACCUAUGGUUCUUACUUUGUGAAAUAGAUCAAAUUGAACACAUUUCCAAUCAUUCUCAUUUCACAACUCCAAAUCCUUUUUCAUAAGUGAAAGAAUAUCAAAUUCUUGCUACUUAUAGAAUAUGCUAGAUUCUAACAUUCUAUGCAACGAUCCUUUCGUAAUGUCACUGCACCAAAGUCACAAAGACUAUUGCCAAUGAUAUUACAAAGUCCUCUAUCGGAGAUUGUUACAAGACAAUUCCUUAGAUAUGAUGUCUCUCACUCAAAGUACAUUCCUUUGAACAUCCUUUUGCAUAAAAGUUUCUAAUCUAGACAUAGAUUUUCAAUAUUCAAUUCCCAAUAUGGACACGCUUCCAUAUUUUCCAUAUGACAACUCAUUCUUAAUAGAAUCUUAUCUAUUCGUAAUGAUGUCGAUAUGGUCCAUCCAAUAUGGAAACAUUUCCAUAAUUUCCAUAUGACAACUCAUUCUUAAUAGAAUCUUUUCUAUUCAUAAUAAUGUCGAUAUGGUCCAUCCAAUACCAUGCUUCCAACUACUCACAAGCGACCAAUCCUCGUCGAACUUUGGAUUGUCCUUUGAUAGUUGUUUAAUUAUUUUAGUCAAAACCAAUUAUGGUCCCUUUUCCCUCUAAAUGCGCUUGACAUUUGGAAAUUUUAGAAUGGUCAAACAUUAAAGCAUUUGCAAUCGAUCCUAUACCCGAAGCGUAUGGGACACGACGCAUAAUGUUUUAUUUGCUAUGUUCUCAAAAUUCGAAUUGUGAAGAGGAAUGCCGUAAUCAUAAUCGAAAUUUUAAGAACACACUAUGUACCUUUGACUAAAUUUAUUAACAUUUCUCAACCUAAUCCUUUAGAUUUGAAAUGAAGCAUAAUAUUCUCUCCCUUAAUUAUAGCAAAACAACCUUUCAACUCUUACAACUUUGCAAAGUAUGACUCUUGUUUUCUAUAAUUAAUAUUGCUAACCUUGCAAUACUUUCCUUAAUAAUCAUACAAUCAUAACAUUUAUGCUCCCACUAUCAUGAUGAUUAUUAUAAAACAUAACACUUAUGCUCCCACUAGCUUCGACAUGUAUUCAUAAACAUCUUAACUUUCAGAAAACAAUACUUAUUGAAUUUCUUAAGUUCAUGUUUCUAAUACUUAGUGCUUUGAUAAUCCUUUAUCAAUGCUUCUUGAACUUAUACACCUUUGCCUUCGAUAGUUCAUAUGUGUGUCUAAACAAUUAAGACUAAUUGCCAAACCUCACAAUUCAAAUUAUGGAAAGGGAUGCCGUAACCAUGAUUGAAUUUGAGAAUGCAAUUUUACAAUCACUAUCUUCUUAAAAUCUCUCUUAGUGAAAGCAUUUCCUCACAAUCAUUUUCAUGAAGGAGGAAAUCUUAUGACACUUAGAUUUAAACGGUGUAUGUGUUCCUAUCCAUGUGAAUUUGUUAAAACCAAAGUUUACGACAAAUUCAAACUCAUAUGGACCGAACUUUCUUAAUCUUGAUUUCUUGCCUUAUGGUAGCACAGCUGCCCACCAUGUCUUCCAAGUAGUUAAGCAGCUCACCCUUUCCUAUCAAUGUACCUUUCAUUGAUUAAGGUGCUUUGCCUUUUAUGCGUUCAAAAUGAGAACUCAUAGAACUCACAUGCAUAAUUAACUCGAUUGGAUUGGCACAGAAUCAAAAUAAUGUCAACACGAUAGGUUGUAAACCUCAACUCGUGUGCUAGUGAUGAUCGAUAAGGUUUAUUUGAUUUGUUCUUGAAACCUUUCAAGACCAUUAAGACUCCCACUGACUCCUUGACAUAUAAGAUUCUCUUGUCAAUAACCAUUUCUUGACAAACAAAUAUUCAAGAGUUAGUGUAGCUUUUAUCAAAACACUUCAUAAAUUGGUCCUAGUUGGUCUUUGUCUUAUCCAAGACAUCACAACUUUCCACAUUUAAUGAAUGUUACAAACCUUCUUAAUACCUUUCACUCAAUGUCACAAUCUUAACUUUAAGACUUGUUAUUGGAACGAAGUAUGAUUGACUUAUUGAUUUAACCAUUUCUUCAAUUCUUGAUUCCUCUUCUUAGACAUACAAUUGUACUAAGACUCACUUAGAGGAUCAAUUGAGAUAUGGUUCUUAAUCAUUAAGACCUAUCAUAAAGCAUAAAAGGUACUCUCCCUUCUUCUUAGAAUGGAGAAACUUUUAUCUUUCUGCCUACUUGAUUCUUCUUAUUCGUUCUGCUAUUGAUUUAAACCUUUUCAAUCAAUUCAGAAUUACACUUAAUCUUAUAAGUAUAAUCAUAUUUACUAAACCUUUAGUAAAUCAUGACGAAUAUCUUUGUUACUCUUAUGGUGGACUUGAUCAACACGCAACUUUGUGUAUUCGAUCUCCAAGUCCUUCACUUGACACUUUGUCAAUGAAUUAGUCUAAUUUCCAAAUAUGAAAUUUCUCAUUCAUCGUGCAACCAAGUUGCAUGAUUCCAAGUUUCUGUCCAAUUGAAACUUGGGCGAUGAGAAACUCUCCCUAUUUGGUAAAUUCUCGACUUUCCAUAAAUAACAUAAUAAGAACCAAAUCCAUUAUUGCUAAUAAUAGAAACAUUUUAACAUCAAUUUUUCAUACACGCCAUUGUAAGGAUAAAUAAAUAAAAUUUAAAAUCAAAAUUUAUUUUAUUGCGGAAAAAUUUGUCCUUACAAUGCAACUCAUUGAAAAACUUAUGCUAAUACAUCUUUCUUAGCAAUCUAAUUCUAACUCUAAGUAGUAGCUCAAGAAUCUAAUCUUCGAGAAAUGCGAUCGAAAUCCAUUCCUUCACGGUUAGAUUCUGCUCACUUCUUCCCUUAAGCUUCCUUUCUUUUCUUCGAUCCUACAAAACAUCAAUUGUAAUCUUAUCACAUUAUGUAUUAAGAAUCUAGAAUAGAAGCUUAAAAGAGUUAGUUAAUGGAUUUUACCUAUAUUAGAGCCAUACGUUUCGACUCUCCCAUCUCUUAGAUCUCUUAGGUAAAUGGGGCAGCUUCGUCUCCAAUGCCCUUUCUCUUGGCAAUAAAAGCAAAUUGACUCUUUUGGAACAUGACAUGGAACUACUUCAGACAUUGCCUUUCUCUUAUGAUCAAACUUUUCGAUCAUAGCAUGUCUUUCGUUGCCAUUGUCUAUAUCCAUAGAGGUCUUGAAGGCAGAUUCACCAAUCAACUUUGCUUUUCUAUUGCGCCAAACCAUUGCUGAUUCAGCAGCAAUAAGCAUAUAGGUGAGAUCUAUAAGGGUCACGUCGCGGUUCAUCAUAUAGUACUCUCUUACGAACUCACUAUAUGAGUUAGGAAGUGACUGAAGAACCCAAUCAACAGCCAUUUCCUCACAGACAACGGAUCCCAACAUUCUUAACCUAUCAAUGUGUGACUUCAUCCCUA